AUGACAACUUCUGAAUCAAAGACCCAGAAGGAAACAAUUGACUUAAGGAGUUGGAAUGAGUUGAUCACAUUUGCAUGUCUUUGCAACAGGGGUAGUAUACAUUGUUUGAACCCAAAACAAAUGCCUGGGUUAGAUAGCAAAACUCAUUUCCUGUUACUUACCUUGGAACAUAAUGGCAGCCCUUACACAAAAGUAAGUUGGGGGCACAUACGGUGCACUAGCCACAAGAGUUGUACUGAUGCACCAUAUGCCCCAAGAACAGGAGUAACACUGUGUCUCAAGCUAACUACUUUUAAUACGAGUCCCUCUCUUAUCAUGCAUCCAUUGAUUCGUGUAACAUUUUUACCGGAUACAUGCAGGAAUUGGAUUUUGUAG
Molecule: ribosomal RNA, 375 nt
Filed under: Triticum aestivum (bread wheat)
Lineage: Eukaryota; Viridiplantae; Streptophyta; Magnoliopsida; Poales; Poaceae
Description: partial small subunit ribosomal RNA
Source: RNAcentral